This is a long non-coding RNA of Aedes albopictus (Asian tiger mosquito), 923 nucleotides long. RefSeq lists it as uncharacterized. Lineage: Eukaryota; Metazoa; Arthropoda; Insecta; Diptera; Culicidae. The transcript has 3 exons. The record is from RefSeq and is a predicted model, not a curated record.
CAUAGCAAACCCAUACUUGUCCCGGGACACCGUGAUGACGGUCUUGUCUCUGCAAGACGACAUCAGACUUUGGCCAAUGAUUCAGCGGGCGAUCCCCUCUCAGGCGCUCUGCAGGUGGGGAAGUGAGGGUAUAUGAUCACCCCUCGCACCUUCCACCGGUCCUACCAGCCCUGAUAUGAAUCCCCGUAAUAAAUCAAGAUCACUUCCAUUCGGCGAUGUCUGCCGUCGGCAACUGGGGAAAAGUUGUUACUCCCGCACCUCACCGGAUGAAUGGCAAACUGCCGAAGAAUUGAAAGUGAAGUGAAAAGAAAAUGAUACUGAAUAAAUUUAUUGAAAAUUUAGAUGGAUUUGUUCUUCUUUUUGUUGUGAGAAAAUACCUUUUGGGGGGUUCCAGGUGUGCGUCCGGAACGGGGAAUAUUCGUUGAAGGGUAGGGUUCCAAGAUCGAAGAUAGGUUUUCGCUGCACAGUUCUUUGGCCGUAGGUUCCGCUCGAAGAUUUAGGUUGGCCUUUUUCCGGAUCUUGAACGACCGGGUCUGCUUUCGUAGAGAUUCGGGGUUCGAAGUUUGUUCUUUGGAAGUAAGGAAAGCUUCACCAGGUAAGUAUCGGGGAAAACUCGAUGAAUGAAGCACCGACUUACUGGUGUCAAAUUCGGGGGAAAAGUAACCAGAAGAGUAGCGUGACACUGGGCUCCUUUUCGUUCCCUUUUCGACCUGAAGAUGGUCUUCCGAAUCAGGUUCGGGCUCGCUGAAUGACAUUUCUAAGUCAUCGGAAUCGGAACUAGGGAUGAUCAAUUCGAUCUCUUCCUCUGGUUCUGAUUCCGGCGCCCUAUAUUCGCAUGUCGCGCUGGGGGGCAAAUAACGAGAAUUUACAUCGCAUGUGACGAUGUUCAUGUCACGCAUAAAAAGGUAGAUGAUUCUUUUAAU